Molecule: transfer RNA, 78 nt
Filed under: Streptomyces virginiae
Lineage: Bacteria; Bacillati; Actinomycetota; Actinomycetes; Kitasatosporales; Streptomycetaceae
Description: tRNA-Asn
Source: RNAcentral
GGGGAAGCCGUAGCACAGAGAUCAACGCGCCCUCCUAUUCAGAGGGAGGACGCCGGUUCGAACCCAGCCUGCACCCCC